RNAcentral lists this ribosomal RNA (492 nucleotides) under uncultured bacterium. RNAcentral describes it as "partial 16S ribosomal RNA". It matches the Rfam family "Bacterial small subunit ribosomal RNA", at positions 29 to 507 of the family's 1533-position model. The record is from RNAcentral.
AGUGAACGCUGGCGGUAGGCCUAACACAUGCAAGUCGAACGGCAGCACAGUAAGAGCUUGCUCUUACGGGUGGCGAGUGGCGGACGGGUGAGGAAUACAUCGGAAUCUACUUUUUCGUGGGGGAUAACGUAGGGAAACUUACGCUAAUACCGCAUACGACCUACGGGUGAAAGCAGGGGAUCUUCGGACCUUGCGCGAUUGAAUGAGCCGAUGUCGGAUUAGCUAGUUGGCGGGGUAAAGGCACACCAAGGCGACGAUCCGUAGCUGGUCUGAGAGGAUGAUCAGCCACACUGGAACUGAGACACGGUCCAGACUCCUACGGGAGGCAGCAGUGGGGAAUAUUGGACAAAGGGCGCAAGCCUGAUCGAGCAAUGCCGCGUGAGUGAAGAAGGCCUUCGGGUUGUAAAGCCCUUUUGUUAGGAAAGAAAAGCAGCAGGAGAAUACCCCGCUGUUCUGACGGUACCCAAAGAGUAAGCACCGGCUAACUUCGUG